GAGAGGAAGGUCCCCCACAUUGGUACUGAGACACGGACCAAACUCCUACGGGAGGCAGCAGUGAGGAAUAUUGGUCAAUGGCCGAGAGGCUGAACCAGCCAAGUCGCGUGAGGGAUGAAGGUUCUAUGGAUCGUAAACCUCUUUUAUAAGGGAAUAAAGUGCGGGACGUGUCCCGUUUUGUAUGUACCUUAUGAAUAAGGAUCGGCUAACUCCGUGCCAGCAGCCGCGGUAAUACGGAGGAUCCGAGCGUUAUCCGGAUUUAUUGGGUUUAAAGGGUGCGUAGGCGGCCUUUUAAGUCAGCGGUGAAAGUCUGUGGCUCAACCAUAGAAUUGCCGUUGAAACUGGGGGGCUUGAGUAUGUUUGAGGCAGGCGGAAUGCGUGGUGUAGCGGUGAAAUGCAUAGAUAUCACGCAGAACCCCGAUUGCGAAGGCAGCCUGCCAAGCCAUGACUGACGCUGUUGCACGAAAGCGUGGGGAUCAAACAGGAUUAGAUACCCUGGUAGUCCACGCAGUAAACGAUGAUCACUAGCUGUUUGCGAUACACAGUAAGCGGCACAGCGAAAGCGUUAAGU
Molecule: ribosomal RNA, 571 nt
Filed under: uncultured bacterium
Lineage: Bacteria
Description: bacterial SSU rRNA
Rfam family: Bacterial small subunit ribosomal RNA
Source: RNAcentral